RNAcentral lists this ribosomal RNA (301 nucleotides) under uncultured bacterium. RNAcentral describes it as "partial 16S ribosomal RNA". It matches the Rfam family "Bacterial small subunit ribosomal RNA", at positions 509 to 808 of the family's 1533-position model. The record is from RNAcentral.
CAGUCGCCGCGGUAAUACGUAGGUCCCGAGCGUUGUCCGGAUUUAUUGGGCGUAAAGCGAGCGCAGGCGGUUAGAUAAGUCUGAAGUUAAAGGCUGUGGCUUAACCAUAGUACGCUUUGGAAACUGUUUAACUUGAGUGCAAGAGGGGAGAGUGGAAUUCCAUGUGUAGCGGUGAAAUGCGUAGAUAUAUGGAGGAACACCGGUGGCGAAAGCGGCUCUCUGGUCUGUAACUGACGCUGAGGCUCGAAAGCGUGGGGAGCGAACAGGAUUAGAUACCCCAGUAGUCCCUGUCUCUUAUACA